RNAcentral lists this ribosomal RNA (301 nucleotides) under uncultured bacterium. RNAcentral's name for it is "partial 16S ribosomal RNA". It matches the Rfam family "Bacterial small subunit ribosomal RNA", at positions 509 to 809 of the family's 1533-position model. The record is from RNAcentral.
CAGUAGCCGCGGGAAUACGUAGGUGGCAAGCGUUGUCCGGAAUUAUUGGGCGUAAAGGGCUCGCAGGCGGUUUCUUAAGUCUGAUGUGAAAGCCCCCGGCUCAACCGGGGAGGGUCAUUGGAAACUGGGAAACUUGAGUGCAGAAGAGGAGAGUGGAAUUCCACGUGUAGCGGUGAAAUGCGUAGAGAUGUGGAGGAACACCAGUGGCGAAGGCGACUCUCUGGUCCGUAACUGACGCUGAGAGACGAAAGCUAGGGGAGCAAAUGGGAUUAGAUACCCGUGUAGUCCCUGUCUCUUAUAA